UACGGAGGGUGCAAGCGUUAUCCGGAUUCACUGGGUUUAAAGGGUGCGUAGGUGGGUUGGUAAGUCAGUGGUGAAAUCCCCGAGCUUAACUUGGGAACUGCCAUUGAUACUAUCAGUCUUGAAUAUUGUGGAGGUUAGCGGAAUAUGUCAUGUAGCGGUGAAAUGCUUAGAUAUGUCAUAGAACACCAAUUGCGAAGGCAGCUGGCUACGCAUAUAUUGACACUGAGGCACGAAAGCGUGGGGAGCAAACAGG
RNAcentral lists this ribosomal RNA (253 nucleotides) under uncultured bacterium. RNAcentral's name for it is "partial 16S ribosomal RNA". It matches the Rfam family "Bacterial small subunit ribosomal RNA", at positions 524 to 776 of the family's 1533-position model. The record is from RNAcentral.